Molecule: long non-coding RNA, 400 nt
Filed under: Pan troglodytes (chimpanzee)
Lineage: Eukaryota; Metazoa; Chordata; Mammalia; Primates; Hominidae
Description: lincRNA
Source: RNAcentral
GACAGAUUUGAUUACAACAAAAGCAUCCCAAGAAUGUGUCCUGCAUGAGCUCUUCAGGCUGUGAAAUCUUGAACUUCUACACCCAUCCUUGGCUGGCUUUUUCCAUGUGAGGCCAUAUAGAGUAACUUAUGAGGUAUUACCACUGUCAUUUUCCAGAAGAAGAAAGCUGAGGCUCAGAGUGAUCAAGAAUACCCAGCCAGAACGUGGCAUCUGGGACUUCUGUCUCCACUCUGUUACCCACCAGCACCCUUGGGCCCUAUUGCUUGGCUAGAUGGGCACUCUGCAUGUAUCAGGCAUUGUCUGUCACCUGAGUCACUACAUGUAUGACAUCAUAUGUCUAUUACCAGUCUCAAAUAUACACUAAGAAAAUAAGAUUUCAUUAAAGUAUUUUCUAAAUUCA